AAAAGAAGUUCGAUCGUUGACAAUUCGGUACUGUAUCUACUUCGAAAUUACGGUUUAAUCAUUCGCUGAAAUAGAUGCGUCAACGUGAGGAAAUCGUUCAGCUCGACGAAGCACCGAUGGAGGCGGAAUGAAAUCUCCAUUUCGCCGAAAAUAACAAAAAUGAAUCAUCCUGUGCGUCGAUCGAAGGAUUCUUUUAAUCGGCGUUAAAUGCAUAGCAUGACGAUUUACAGAUAGAAUAUACUGAAUAUAGAGAAGGACCGAGAGAGCAGCUGUCAGCUGUGCACGAUGACAUCACACAGAUGCAGUUAUCCUCGCCGCCGGAUGGGAAUUUUACGAUGAAUUUCGAGCCAGCCUUCUCCUCGGAGUCGUUCAAAGGUCGAAAUCUACAGACUACCUUGAUACUGUCCUCCGCGGCAAUCUCACGCUCCCUCGGCGUCUCCAUUGCCAUAUUUCGGGUGCAUAGGCGACGAGAUGGUCGCGUGAACCGCAUCAAGAACCACUACCGUCUUCUCUGUCACAAACCACAGCCCGUUUUGGAGCCAGCAAAGAUGGCUGCCGUUGUUCGACGAUUUUGCGGGUGGGUUGAUUUGCGUGUGCAAAGGUGAGAAUCAACGAUCGUACUUAUGUUAGACUGGUGAAGAAACAUGGACGAUAUAAGGUGUGACACGCGGCCAGUCCUCUUCUACUAAUACAUUACUACUACUCUAUAUUGAAACACGGAAGUGAUUUUUUUGAAUAUACUUCGGGUACUCUAAAAACCAAUCGAUGAGAAGUCUAGACAAAGUUUAACGCAAACGCGUCGAACUAAACGUGCGCGCGCGCCGUACGACUUGCCUGUUUGCGCACACGAAACAGCAUUGUCGGCGGAUAUCAUACAUACGUUGUCAGGGCUGUAACCUGCGUGGGCGUCGGAUCCUUAUUCCAUUUUCUAGUCAAAUACUUUUUUGGUCAUUUUGUAGGAUGCUAAUAUUCCUCCUUGAAAAUCAAUUAUAGUUUACUUAUAACGUUUAUAAAUCAUUUUGUAUAUCCGAAAUUUGGACAUAAUGUCUGUAAUUAUUUUAUAUAACCUCUUUUUUUGCAUAAUACAUUUUUCAUUUAAUUUAGUUUACAAAUAUUGCUUUUUUGUUGACUAAUGCUUUAAGUUGUUCAAUUUGAAUCUAAAUUUGUAAUUAUACUUUUGUAGGUUAUAUGACUAUAUUUUUUAAACAGAUUUCUUAGUUUACCUAAUAAAAUAGUGUGAAUAAUCAUAAUCAUAUUAUAUAGCUUCCAUCAAAUUAUUUUUAACGAAGGAAGGACAAUUGGAUUAAAUAUUUUGAUUUUUAAUAUCGUUAAAAAUUUAUUUUUUAUCUUUCUACUAGGUGAUUCGUACUUCAAUUGCAUUUAAUAGUCCUCGAUAUAUAAAAUUUAAAUUUUGCUAUUUCUACAAUUUACGAAUGUAUAUUAAAUUGGUCAAUUUCAAGUUUUAUGCUUCCUAAUAUCAGGAUUCACAAACACAACUUGUAAAAAAAUAAUGGAAUAUUUUGAUAAUGAUAUUGCAUCAUCUAUUUAGAUAUCAAUGUUUAUUAAAACACAAUCACAAAAUAAUAUUAUUAUAUUACAGUAUU
This 1604-nucleotide unclassified non-coding RNA is filed under the name Bombus terrestris (buff-tailed bumblebee). RNAcentral describes it as "misc RNA ENSBTSG00005038971.1". Lineage: Eukaryota; Metazoa; Arthropoda; Insecta; Hymenoptera; Apidae. The record is from RNAcentral.